GGGAGAGGCUACAGUAAGUUCGGUGAAGUAGCGUAAACAACUGGAUAAAGUUUUUAGGAAAGCCGCAUGGAGGAUUAACAUAUUUAUAGUGUUAACAAUGGGACCUAUGAAGAUCUACAACAGAAUUUACAUCAUACAGUCUAUUCACUUGGCUUUUAAUCCGUACUCUGUUGGUUGCUUCUACAGAGAUUGCAGAUGAAACAGUCCACACAAGCUGGCUUUUAUCCAUAGAAACCAGUUAAAUUCUUCAAACGAACCUCGCAUGUUCUUAUAAAAUCUUCCCACAAAGCCUGCAUACUCUUACAAAUCCUUCAAAUAAAAUAAAAUUUAAUAAUUAAAACUAUAAAACCAGGGUAACAACAGUUAAACAGAUUUCAAAGCAAAAUUAUCUGGCAUUAUUGUGCCCUCAGACAUCCAAGGAAGGAAUUAGCAGCAUUAGCUCUCAAGCCUGGCAGGGCGAAAGCUCUUAGGCGGCAACUGCGAAUGUAGAGAAACAAGCCUUGACUUCUAUCAUCAUCGGGCACACCAUACACAGAUUAGUCUGUAUGGUUCUCGAAGUUAUUCGGCCAAAUCAAAUAACAAAUCUUACGCAGAAAAACUUACUGUUGCUUUGCACCAUAAGCACCAACUGGAAUUAAGAGAAACAAACCACAAACAGAAAUAUGUAUGGCUCAGACAUCCAAGGAAGGAAUUAACAGCACUAGCUCUCAAGCCCGGCAAGGCGAAAGCUCUUGGGCGGCUACUGCGAAUGUUGAGAAACAAGCCUUAGCUUUUUCAUCAUCGCCAUACACUAUGCAUCCAAACAAAAUUCAAAAAAAAUGGCGCAUGACAUUAUAAUCACAUUAACCGGCCCUGCGGACAGAUAGAGAAGCAGUCCCAGGUUCCUAUCAACACGUGAAACGUUAAAAAAAACUUCGUUUCGGCCCAAUCAUAGCAUCUCUGGUCAAUGCCGUGGUUAACAGAGACGUGGCAUCAGGCCCAAAUUCCAUUUCAUUACAGUUCACAAACUGAAAGGUAUUGAAUAGUUGCUCUAAUCCCUCAG
Molecule: long non-coding RNA, 1042 nt
Filed under: Zea mays
Lineage: Eukaryota; Viridiplantae; Streptophyta; Magnoliopsida; Poales; Poaceae
Description: drought responsive lncRNA
Source: RNAcentral